Molecule: ribosomal RNA, 403 nt
Filed under: bacterium
Lineage: Bacteria
Description: partial 16S ribosomal RNA
Rfam family: Bacterial small subunit ribosomal RNA
Source: RNAcentral
UGGGGAAUAUUGCACAAUGGAGGGAACUCUGAUGCAGCGACGCCGCGUUAACGAAGAAGGCUUUCGAGUCGUAAAGUUCUUUUAUAUGGGAAGAUAAUGACGGUACCAUAAGAAGAAGCCCCGGCUAACUACGUGCCAGCAGCCGCGGUAAUACGUAGGGGGCUAGCGUUGUCCGGAAUCACUGGGCGUAAAGGGUUCGCAGGCGGAAAUGCAAGUCAGGUGUAAAAGGCAGUAGCUUAACUACUGUAAGCAUUUGAAACUGCAUAUCUUGGGAAGAGUAGAGGUAAGUGGAAUUUUUAGUGUAGCGGUGAAAUGCGUAGAUAUUAAAAAGAAUACCGGUGGCGAAGGCGACUUACUGGGCUCAUUCUGACGCUGAGGAACGAAAGCGUGGGUAGCAAACAGG